CUCUAGUUCUUUUUCAACGCGAUGCCAUACCGUUCACGUACCUGGCCGCCAGGUCGUGCUUUCGUCCCAGGUAGCGGAGGAUGGCCAAGCUCUGGGUCAGCCUAACGUCGUCGUCGAUGUAGUACGGAAGGUUGGGGAACGUGAGACCGAGCGUGGACUUUUCCUUCAGUCAGGCGGACCUGCCGUAGUCGGGCGGGGGACCGAUUUCGUACUGUUUGUCCUCAAACUCGACUCCCCUGUAGAUGAGCAGGUUGCGGAUAGGUUGUCCCAGGGACCUGACGUUCCAGUAGCCGAGUACGGGA
Molecule: long non-coding RNA, 302 nt
Filed under: Dermacentor andersoni
Lineage: Eukaryota; Metazoa; Arthropoda; Arachnida; Ixodida; Ixodidae
Description: uncharacterized LOC126544904
Source: RNAcentral